AUCUCUGUCGGUGAGAAAAUGUGUGUGGAUGCUGACUUCUAGAAGACUCCAAAGCGCUUGUCUUCCCCACUCCCCAUUUCCAAAGGCUGAGACUCCUCUGCACUCCGAGUUUCCUCCCACGCUUCGUCUGAAGAGUGGGUUUUGGGGAGUGAAGGAUAGAAAAUAUCUGAAGACUCUUCCCUAUGACUUAAGACAUGAAUUUUCUUCUCAAGUCUUGAACUAAAGUCAGAAAGUGUUUGCAAGAAAUGUUCUUCUAGGUCCCACAUCCACGGGACCAGAUGAUGCCUGGCUCAAUGCAUUCCUAUCUGAAGUGGGGCAGAGAGGCUGGCAGCCUUCUUUACUAACCAGGCCUGGGAUGAGGUCAGGGGACACUGCUCCGUCACAAGACCAGCGACCCAUCCUGGUGAGGUCACCGAGUUGUCCUGUGUGGAGUCCGGCUCUUGUUUCCAAUGGGGAAAACAGCUUUCCUCAGAAAGUUCUACUCCCUCUGGGGAAAACGACUGAGAGGCUCUUGGCAGGGCUAUUCCCAGUUUCCUCACUAAUUACUCUGGGAUAUUCCCUCCUGAAUGAAGAAACUUCUAUAAUUUGGGUUAUAAAAGAUCUCUUUGAAUUUUC
This 615-nucleotide long non-coding RNA is filed under the name Homo sapiens (human). RNAcentral's name for it is "HSALNT0401982". The record is from RNAcentral. Lineage: Eukaryota; Metazoa; Chordata; Mammalia; Primates; Hominidae.